AGUGAACGCUGGCGGCAGGCCUAACACAUGCAAGUCGAGCGGCAGCGGGUCCUUCGGGAUGCCGGCGAGCGGCGGACGGGUGAGGAAUGCAUCGGAAUCUGCCCUGUCGUGGGGGAUAACCUAGGGAAACUUAGGCUAAUACCGCAUACGACCCACGGGUGAAAGCGGGGGAUCGCAAGACCUCGCGCGAUAGGAUGAGCCGAUGUCCGAUUAGCGAGUUGGCGGGGUAAAGGCCCACCAAGGCGACGAUCGGUAGCUGGUCUGAGAGGAUGAUCAGCCACACUGGGACUGAGACACGGCCCAGACUCCUACGGGAGGCAGCAGUGGGGAAUAUUGGACAAUGGGCGCAAGCCUGAUCCAGCCAUGCCGCGUGGGUGAAGAAGGCCUUCGGGUUGUAAAGCCCUUUUGUCCGGGAAGAAAUCGUCUGGGCUAAUACCCCGGGCGGAUGACGGUACCGGAAGAAUAAGCACCGGCUAACUUCGUG
Molecule: ribosomal RNA, 484 nt
Filed under: uncultured bacterium
Lineage: Bacteria
Description: partial 16S ribosomal RNA
Rfam family: Bacterial small subunit ribosomal RNA
Source: RNAcentral